UUAAACUCGGACCCGUUCGCUGGUGCGCGCUUCGGUACCUUGGGUCGGCACCGGGUAAAGGGAGCCAGGAGGGCGCUGUGUCCGCUGCUCUGAGGAAAGGCUGAGGCUCCGCGUGGACGCCAUCCGGCCUGACUCUGUCUCGGGGCCGGGAGGGGCCUCCGGGCCCCACCAUUGCCCACAGACUCCGCUGGGACGGCCACGCCGAUGGGUGCGAUUCAGGCCACACUGCGCAGCUAGCAGUAUCUUAGUUCCCAGACCAGGGAUCGAAAUCGAACCCAUGGCAGUGAAAGCACCAAGUUUUAACCUCUGAACCACCAGGGAAUUCUGAGAUUCAUUUUCAGUGUGAAGUCAACAAAUGGUGGUUCCCAUCUCUACUGCAGGAGAAAAAAGCAGGUUCCACAUUCAGCAGAACCACUUAUGGACCCUGCACUGGGCUCUGUGACCUUUGAGGACGUGGCUGUCUACUUUUCCCAGGAGGAAUGGAAGCUUCUUGAUGAGGCCCAGAGAUUCCUGUACCACGAUGUCAUGCUGGAGACCUUUGCACUUGUUGCAUCAUUGGGACUUUCAUCUUCUAGGUCCCAUGUUGUCCAGCUGGAGCUGAGAGGAGAACCCUGGGUACAUGACAGAGUGGACAUGACUCCAGACAGAGCAAGAGGGGCUCAAAUUGGGCCUGGCCCUGGGUGUUGGUAUAUAGCAGAGAACAAGGAGACACCUUCUGAGCAGAAUGUUUCUGUAGAAGUGCCACAAAUAAAUACUUCAGAGGCAGACCUGUCCACCCUGAAGUCCUGUCCCUGGGAGAGGUACUGCCUGUACUUAGAAGGUGGUUUGCAUCUAGCUGAGGACCUUGGCACAGACCCUGGCCAGAAACUCUGUGGGGCAGGUGUGCAGUUUCACCAGCGCAGUGGAGAGGAACUCUUUAGAAGAGACGUGGGUAAGACCUUUAUGAAGAGCUGCACCAUCCAUGCAUCCAAGAAGUCUUUCACAUUCCAGGAGCCUUGGAAGGAUUUCCCUUGUAGCUCUGGCCUUCUCCAGCACCAGGUCACUCCACAAAAGGACACCAAGUUUGUAGAGGCCUUUCACAGUGGAGAAAAGCGUUACAAGUGCAGUGAAUGUGGGAAAGCCUUCUGCCGUAAAUACAGACUUGCUCAGCACCAGAGAGUCCACACUGGAGAAAGACCUUAUGAAUGCAGUGAAUGUGGGAAAGUCUUUAGAUGCAACUCCAACCUUGUUAUACAUAGAAGAAUUCACACUGGGGAAAGGCCUUAUGAGUGUAGAGAAUGUGGGAAGUUCUUUAGGCAAAACGCCCAACUUAUUGUGCACCAGAGAAUUCACACUGGAGCCAAGCCUUACGAGUGCAGUGAAUGUGGGAAAACCUUCAUUACUAAAAGCAAACUUGUUCAGCACCAGAGAGUCCACACUGGAGAGAGACCUUAUGAAUGUGGAGAAUGCAGAAAAGCCUUCACCUAUAAACGCAUGCUUGUUCAGCAUCAGAGAGUCCACACUGGAGAGAGGCCUUAUGAGUGCAGUGAAUGUGGGAAAGUCUUUAGGUACAUCGCCAGCCUCAUUAAACAUAGAAGAAUUCACACUGGGGAAAGGCCUUAUGAGUGUAGUGAAUGUGGGAAGUCCUUUAGGCAAAGGGCCCACCUUCAGGUCCACCAGAGAAUUCACACUGGAGCAAAGACUUACAAGUGCAGUGAAUGUGGGAAAUGUUUUAGCCAAAACUCUAUUCUCACUACGCACCAGAGAGUUCACACUGGCGAAAGGCCUUAUAAGUGCAGUGAAUGUGGAAAGUGUUUUAGCCAAAGCUCUACUCUUAUUAAGCACCAGAGUUCACAUUGGAGAAAAACCAUAUGAGGAGAACUCUGAAUGAGGAGAAUUCUUUAGCCAAAGCAUCCAGCUUACUCAACACCGAAAAGCUCACACCACAGAAAGGCCUCAUCAGUGCAGCAAAUGUGGAAAGGUUUUCUGUCAAAGGUCUGCUCUGAGCACUAGAAACUUCACAGCUCAGAUAGACCCUAUGAGUACAGCAAAUGUAGGAAAGCUUUCAGCCAAAGGUCUUACCUUAUUCGAUACCAGAAAGUUCAUACUGGAGAAGUGCCUUCAAAUGAGAUGAGGAGAGCAGCGAAUGAGCUGUCUCCUUAGUUAAUACAUCAUACUGAAUAGACUCUCUGAGGAAGUCAUCAACUGGAAGUUGAAUGCCAUACAUCUGAACAGCCCUCGUGUGCAGAUUGCCUAUGAGUACCAGGUUCAUAGGAAGCUUUUCAGGAGCUACGCUCUACUUUCUAACCUGUGCAAGGCCCUUGCUGGACUCAAUAUCACUAAGUUUUUUACCUCUCCCAUGUGGCAGAUCCCAGUACUGGGGGCAUCAGUCAUCACACUGUGAUCAGGGUUUCGGAAACAUCUGAAAUAUUAUGGCUGUCUCUCUGUGAUCAGCGAAGACUACUUUCCAUGGAAAUCUGGGUUCGUCUCCUUUAAGAAGCGUGAAACCCCGCCCCCGUCCUCAGAGCCUCCAGGACACUCCUUCCCAGGAGCCCCGGCAGUGAGGCGGGGCUUUUCCUGUAGCCGGGGAGCACCGCCCCUUGCCAGGUUCUAGAGGCGGGGAAUUUCGCAACGCUGUGAAGGCCAGAGGUCAGGGAGCCAGGAAGGCGCCGUGCCCGCUUCUCUGAGCUUCGUCUGAGGCUCGGCGUGGGCACCAUCCGGCCUGACUCUGUCUUGGGCGGUUGGUGCCGCAGUGCCCGGGUCCUACCUUCGCCCACAAACUCCGCUGGCGCCGGCGCAGAUGUGUCGGAUUCAGGUUUAUCCUGUAUGGGACUCUGCACUUCUUGGACUCGGGUCUUAGUUGCAGCACACAGGAUCUUUCGUUGAAGCACACGGGCUCAGUUGCCCCACCACGGGCCCUGUGACCUUUGAGGACGUGGCUGUGUACUUUUCCCAGGAGGAAUGGAAGCUUCUUAAUGAGGCACAGAGAUUCCUGUAUCGUGAUGUGAUCCUGGAGACCUUUUGCACUUGUGUCAUUAGGUUGUUGGCACGGAGCAGAGCACAAGGAGAUAACUUCUGAGCAGAAUGUUUCUGUAGAAGUGCCGUGAAUAAAUACUUCAGAGACCUGUCCAUCCAAAAGUCCUGUCCCUGGAAGAUGUGUAGCCUGGCCUUAAACAGUAAGUUUGCAUCUAGCUGAAGACCUGGGAACAAUUCCUGGCCAGAAACUGUGUGUGUCAGGUGUGAAAUUUCACCAGCACAGUGGAGGGAAACUCUUUAGAAGAGACAUGGGUAAGGCCUUUAUGAGGAGCCACAUAGUCCAUGCACAUCCAAGAACUCUUUCACAUGCCAGGAGGCUGGGAAGGAUUUCCCUGGUAGCUCUAGCCUUCUCCAGCACCAGGUCACGCCACAAAAGGAUGCUGACUGCACAGCGGUGUUUCUCAAUGGUCAAAGUCUCUGUAAGUGCCAUGAAUGUGGGAAAGCCUACCCCUGGAUGUAUAGGCUUGCAGAGCAUGAGAGAGUCCGCACAGGAGAGAGGCCUUAUGAAGACAAUCACACUGGAGAAAAAAGACACAUGCAUGCACUAAAUAUGGAGAAUUCUUCAGCCAAAGCACCCAGCUUACUGAACACCAAACAAACAAACCACAGAAAAAGACCAUAUGAGUGCAGCAAAUGUAAGAAAGCUUUCAGCCAAAGGUCUAUAACCUCAUCUGUCACCAGAGUUCAUACUGGAGAAGGCCUUCAAAUGAGAUGAGGAGAGCAGCAAAUGAGCUGUCUCCUUAGUUAAUACAUCAUACUGAAUAGGCUCUGUGAGCGACUCAUCAAUGGAAGUUGAAUGCCAUACAUCUGAACAGCCCCUCGUGUGCAGACUGGCUGUGAGUACGAGGUUUGUAGGAAGCCUGUGCUCUGCAACAAGAGAGGCCACCACAAUGAGAAGCCCACACACCACAACAAAGAGUAGCCCCUGCUCACUGCAGCUAGAGAAAGCCCAUGCACAGCAACAAUGGCCCAACACAACCAAAAAUAAAUUUUAAAAAAACCUUUCAUUGCUCACCAGUCUUCAUUGCUACUGCUACAGUAUCCCUCCCAUGAGACAAGGAGUCAGGGAUGGGGUUGUUAAUGUGUGGUUUGCUAGAGUUCUACUGAAAAGGAGAUUCAGAGUAAGAUUCAGGGGGAUCCUUGGCUCCUGCAAGGCACUGGCACACACCACCCCCAAAAAACAAAUUCAGAUUUUUAUGUGGAGCCAAAAUUUAAUUGAGCUGUAUAAGGGUAUGCAUUGAACAUACCUAAUAAGAUGUACAGCUUGAUUAAAUUUUAAUACAUGUAAACCCCCAGAACCAUCGUCAUAAUUGUCAUAAUUACAAAUAUCCACCAUCACUGCCACAUCCACCUUCUGACACCCCCUCACAACUCUCAGGCAACUACUAUUGACUUCCUUUUUUCCCAUUCAAUUAGUGUUUUCUAGACUUUUAAUAUCAUUGGGGUCUUUAUGUUUCAUAUUCUAAUUUUUUUUUUUUGGCCACAUCACGCACCAUGGGGCAUCUACCCCAACCAGGGAUCAAACCUGUGGCCCCUGCAGUGGAAGUACAGAGAAGUCUUACCCCUGGACCAAGGAAGCCCCUGGUUUCAUAUUUCAAAAUGAAUGAAUAGGGUUGUAUCCUUUUGCAUUCUAACAGUAUGGGAACCUUCCAUCCCCUGUGUUCCUCACCAGUAGUGGGUUGGUAUGGUUAGUGUUUUGAAUAUUACCUGUUUUAAAAGUGUGGAUACAUGCCCCUCCGUGGUCUGAUGCAUUUCCCUAGUGAUUCAUGAUGUUGAACAUUCCUGUGUUCAUUUGCCAGGUGUAUUGUCUUCUUUGAUUAAAUGUCUUUUUAUUAGUUACUGU
Molecule: RNA transcript, 4858 nt
Organism: Eubalaena glacialis (North Atlantic right whale)
Lineage: Eukaryota; Metazoa; Chordata; Mammalia; Artiodactyla; Balaenidae
Gene name: zinc finger protein 792-like
Exons: 12
Source: RefSeq, a predicted model, not a curated record